CGCUCAGGGCGCCAUUUUGGCCGCCUGCCGCCUCAGGGCAGGGGGACGUUGUGACACCGCCCCCUUCCCCGCGGCGGUGGAGGCGGCGAGAGAGCAGCGGCCACCGCCUGCGCCGCGGGAAGGCCGCCGUAAUGUGGAUGAAAGAGCAGGGUAGAGAUGCAAGUAGCAUUUCCCUUCCAAAAGGGGCACCAGCACCUCGGAUCAUCGCAGCAGUUCUUCCUAAAUCAGACGCUCUUGUAUCUUCAUAGUGUGUCUGCAGAUCAAGUAUCUCCUCCUUCGAUUCCUUUUUUUUGCCAUUCUCCUCUGCCCUCCCCACGCUAUUCACUAGAACAGGCGUAGCACAGUGAGACCAUACCUGACCCACCCACAAGACUGCUCUUGGAGUCAGAUUCCUGCCAGUGCUGUGAGAUUCCACAUAACAAAACCAGAAAAAGUGGACUGCACAGAAUCAUUUGAGCCUUGAAAUUUUAUUAUCUUGUUUGCAUCAACCAGUUAUUCCUUUCAGCACCAAUAAAAGACAAAACCCCCUCCCUAUUGUUCAAAAUACCUUGUUUUUAUCAGGUCUGAGAUUGUGAUUUUCUUGCAGGCAAGGAAACCAAUGAAAAUAUUUAAUUUUUUAUUUUUUUUAGUACAUUUAUAACAAAAUGUCAGAAGGUGUGUGCUUACCAUAUAAAAACAUCAGGUUCCAGAAGGAUACAAUACCGAAAAAUUAUUGAAAUAAAAAAAGGUUAUUCUUAUUAGAGGAUUUCUAAACCUUAGCAAGAAUACAAGUCUUUAAAAGCAUCAAGAUCAUAUUUAAAACAAGAUGGCAUGGAAAAAUGAGACCGUCAGUAACAAUUUGACCCUCAUUGUAACGGAUGAUAAAAUUGGGAGUUUUUCAAAGUGCUUGAAUUGUAUUUCUGCUCUCAUCCUGCGGCGCCGGGAGGAGGUACACGUGCUUCAUUUCCGAGCUGAUGAUAUGUGCUGACACUGAUGUGCCGCUGUGUGAUCCCAGGGUAGCUCAGAGACCAAACUGGGGACAGCCAGAUCGGCUUAAUCUGGACCACCAAACAAAGAGCAUUUUAGAAAAUCUCAUUAUUGGAAUUUUAAGUUCCUUAAAUCUUACUGUCUUGCCCAACAAGCAGGACUGAGUGUCUGGCCAGACCAGCCAAGAGUGCUUCUGGGAGAAAAUGUCAUAAUACUGUCACUAGACAGGUAAACGCCAUGUACCAGACAGCUUUCUCAAGGGUUUCUCUACAGCAGGCUGCAGGCUUCUCUUAGAGCCAGUCUGUGAUACGGUUUCUGUUUGGUUGCUUUAGACAGCUUCUAUUAACCAUCCCGUUUGUGAUGGAAUAAAACUAGCUGGCCACCACUUGAGUUGGUCACAGUAAACACUUCUUCACUUACUAUGAGGUGCAUGACUACCCUGGUUCUCAGCGGCUGAGCUGUGGUGCAAAGCAGGUGGAUGACAGACAGCGCACACGUUAACUGGAUCUGUAUGCGCCUGAGAGGCUGUUUUAUAGGUUGUGGUUUUGAAGUGAUCUAAAGGUACCAACUUGGUAAGGAUCUGAUGUCCUUGAAACUUCUGGAAGUUCUUAGUUUUCUGCUGCCCUCAUUUUGUGUCUUUUGUUCACAUAUUCUAGAAGUGCUGUCGUAAAAUGUAAAUUGAAUGUGAGAAACAGAAGAUGUUAUCUAGCUUUUACAAAAACAGAUGACACCUCAUCUACAGUAUCCCUGUUGAGUGGCAGUUAUUAAACCAAGAAUAGCGUUAUCGCCCACUUCUUGAAGAUACCUGAAAUUCCUGUACAAAGUGGGGCAAGCAUAGCCGAGUGAGCUGAACUCAGAUCUCUUAAAGAUAACAUCCUGCUAACCAGCUGGGUCAUGCUAUCCUUAAGCCAAGUGGGAUUGACUGCCAUCUGAAAAGCCGUCCAGGGUUUGAUUUCCUGGGCAUGCUCUCCCACCUGCUGCGUUUGGGGUUUUUUGUGUGUGUUUGUUUGAUUGUUUGUUUACGCAAACAUUCUGUUACAUAGUAUCUGGCUAAGGCUUGUAAUGAUUAAUACCCUGCCAGCACAGGCUUGCCUGGACAACUCUGUGAGACAGUAUAUGGAACUGUAGUAGCAGUGGUGUAGCCAGAGCUGAUUUUUCUCUUCUGGAAAGGAAAGCCUGCGCAUUACAGUUUACUGGUGCAUAUGCUCUCCGACUCCUGCAAGCGUACCAUGGCAUCAGAAGGCACAGGAUCAGUGCAAAGCCCACAAGGAACAUGUGUACAGCGGUGCCACAAUGCUGUACUUCCCAGCAUCAUUCUCCUGCAAAGUCAGAUCCUUAAGACAGUAAAUUAGUAAGAACUACCUAGACUGUUUAAAUGUACGUGUAUCGUUUAAAGAGAACAUUGUACAACCGUCCAUUUCCUGAUCACUGAGAAACUAAGAACAUCAAAAUCUAAAAGAGUUUACUUUGGAUUUGAAAAUAUAUUUCUCAACAUCUCUCAAAAAGUUGACGAGAGUGCCCAGUUUUAGUCAGCACAAAGCCACAGAACUAGUUUAAAAGUAAUUUAGACCAUGUUAGUUGUACUGUAGAUGUAACAUUGUUUGGCAGUAGUUUUAUGAUUAUACCCCACACAGUGUCAAACUCAGCUCCUGCAACUGAUACUUAGUGAAGUUGAUAUCAAAUUGUGAUUUACAUUGUUAGGAAAGCUAUUAAAAAUACUGUACCUUGUAUUUAAUCUUACCACUGAGAAAUAGCUGCUGGGCAGCACACAAAUUGCUACUGAUAAUGUGUUUUUUAAAAACGUUAAUAAAAUACAAGCAAGGUAGAAAAAAGGAUUAAAAGCAUUGUUUCAGGUACAAGUUUCUUCUGAAUUGGGGGGAGAGAUAAGAAACCAGAAAAACACGUUGCACAUAUGUGCACUCUCUGUAUAAAGAGAAUCAUACAAAGGGGGAAACUGGUGAUGCAGUGGGGUAGUACACUGAAGUCUCUGAUGCUGUAAACUUGAAUUCUUAAUUUCAGCAAAAAGGGGAAUUGAGCCUGGUUCCAUUUUGAGUCCCCCUGGGUCACGCGUGCAGACUACCCCCGGUUUGGCACGGAACGCGUUUAAGAGGCAGUCUCUGCUGAAGGGAUGCCAGGGCUGGAGGGUGAGGCAUCAAACGUGUCAGACCAGGUGCCUCACUGCCUGCUUGCAAUGGGCCAAUACUGUUAGCCAGUACUUUUGUAACUAUUAAGAGUUUCUCUACAUGCAAAAUCAGGCUGAUGUCAGUAAAAGUUCUGUUGUUUACUGCAGCUCAUUAAGCCAGUACCAGAGGCUGUGCGGACUGGGAUCUCUAAUUUAAAUCUAUUCUGAUUUAGCUGAAGCUGAUUCCUAGCAGGUGUAAACUAAACCAAAACAAAAGUAUCUUCAGGAAUUUGUGACCAGCAUAACUAAAACAGUUUACUUAAUGCAGUAAAUACAAGUAUUAAAUUAACUCUUUAUAACACAAUUUGUAAUGUAAGAGGAAAUAACACUAAAAUCAAUAAGGAAGUAGGCAGAAGAAACUAAGUACUGGUUAAAACUGAAGGGGUCUCAUUGUUCUCCCAGCAAAACCAAACCCUUCUGAAUUCAAAUCCCUAAAAAAAUGCCAAGUCUAGUUAUGGACCUGGUUCUCAGCUUUUCGUUCUUUGUUAAGGUUACGGGGCUGGGUCAGUCAGGUCCUGGGGAUAAGAUGGCAGAGGGGAGCCCCAUAUUUAAAGAGCUGCAGUGGAAAGAACACAUGAAUUAGAUGCAAGACCCCUACUAAAGUCUGUGAGUGAACGGAGAAUUGUGUCUCAGAUCCAAACCAACCCUCUGCUCCUAGGAAGUCGUUACCUAGGGCUGAGUCACACCUCUGUUCUCCAGUACCUAGCCACACUACACUUAGUGUACUGAUUCCUUUGGAAAAUUGUUAUUCUGCCUUCUCAGUCAUACACUGUUCUACACUUUUUCUCCCAAAAUGUCACUUACGUUUAUUUUAACUCUAUAUCUAGCAUGCAUUUUACAAGCUAUUUCCCACUUACUCUUUCUAGUUAAGGCAGAAUGUUGGCCCUGGUGUUACCAAUUGUACUACAGGAAUCUAUUCACUCUACUGUAACACACACAUCAUCCUAUACCAUAAUUCAGAACUGUCCCACAUGUGAGAAAGAAAGAAAGAAAAUACAUUACAGGAGAACUAUAUUUCUUCAUAAGGGAAUAAGUUGUGCUUAGAAAGCUAAAGGCCCAGUCUGGAGUCAUUGCUCAGACAAAACACUUCAUAAUGUCAGUGGGAACACAGUUGGUAGAAGGGUAGAACUUCAAGGUGUUCUUGAAGUCUUAAUUCCAAAUCUUUUAAGUAUCCUUAAACAGGGCAGGAAGAUACCGGUCUGCAAAUUGAAUGGAGUGUGUGUGUGUUUGUUUGGAGACCUAUCUGUAAUGACAGAAGGGUUUGCCAAUCCCAGAACGCCUUGCUUUGGCUGGUAUCUGAUUUGUAAAUUCCGUCCAUUCUGCUAUUCCCCACGUAUCUCACUGACUAUUGUAUCUCAGAGUGGCAUGCAGUGCUGGCGCAUGCUACUGAUGCAAGCACGCUACUACAACUUCAACAGGCUAAAAAAAGAAACAGCUUUAGCUUCUUCGUUAUACAAAGAAAUUAUGCAAAAAACCAUUGAGCAGCACUAACUCACAGACUAAUUACAAACUAAAUUGUGCUAUAUAUUAGUAUAAAAACAUGUUUUAGUAAGAAUGGCACUGGUUCAGAAGGAAUUAGGACUUCCAUCUUGGUUCCGUUCGGUCCACAGUGUAAGCAUUGUAGUACAGGCCUGCCCUGUUGCCUGAGCAACUUGUGACAGUGGCUUUUGGCCACAACCCCUUCCGUUUCUUCCCUUUUUAUAUCCUCCAUUGUUGGUACGUUCUGGGAGUAGCCCAGGUCAGGUCUGGUCAUCUUUCCUAACGUGGCACCAGAAUAGUUCAUUCUUAUCCUCUGAUAUUUUCUUAAUAUCGUUAACGUUUCCCUCUUUAAUCUCUCAAAGCUGGUCAGUUUUAAGGGUCAUCUUCUCCUGUAGACACCAUGAGACGCAUUGCUACUGGUAGGUGGUCUGUCAACCCUGCUAACUGGGUAAUAAAGCUGAACUCUUCUACUUCCUGCAGAGGGAAAAUGAAAGAAAUCAUUAAUUUGAAAACUGCUCUGUUACACCACACACCAGGACUCAGCCUCUUUAGUUUACUUCGAACUGCCUUACUGUAUUAGGAGAUGUAUGGGACCAGUUGAGCUUGGCUGGGCUAAUGGUAAAGUCUGCCACACAGAGCACGUCAAUGUGGUGCAGUUGAUGAGGUAAACCAUUUAUAAAAUACACAGGUGAAUUAGUCUGGAUGAAAUCUGUUGUACCUUUUCCUUCCAUUUACAGUACCAUCUGCAUUGUUCCAGACAGACCUUUCUGUAGUGCCGCAGUGCAUAAUGCACACGCGUCAGGAGGCACUCACCCGGGAGGAGGGGCUGGCUGUACCCUACCAGAUUUGCUAUGCAGCUGACAAGGAAGCCUGUCUUCAUUAGACUGAGCUGUGGAACCUAAAGCGACAGGGUCCCUGCUCCUUACAUCUCUGAAUUCUAGCCUUUAUGCUGGCAACGUUUUAUAGGACUGAAAGUUCUGCAGGAAAUAUGGCUUGCUUCCCAGCUUCUGAAAGCUGGGCAGAGCACCCUUAGUGCUUGCCAAUGUAGCUGUCCCCUCCUACCAGCCAGGUACUUACUUGGCCAGUACUUUGGGCGUGGCUUGCCAGAAGCACAGAUACUUUAGCUCUUCAGGAGCCUUUUGGCUAGCAUUAACUAGCAUGCCACAAGAAGAAACAGUCUAGUAUCUUCCUAGCCACUCAUUUAUCUUUAUUCUCCCAGCAUGAGCCUUAUAAAAGACUUAAUCUGAGUCAAAACUAUUCAAAUAUUGGUUUUGUUGCUGUUCAUGUGAAAUAUAAGAUGGGUUUACCAUGCAGAUGCGCCAUGGGCAUUCGUGUACCUGAAAGAGGAAGUCUGAAAACAAUUUAGCUGCUAAGCUGCUGUGACAACAGACCGAGGUAUGUGCUCAGUUAUGCUGAAGUGCUCAAUCACUUGCCACUCUGCAGCAGCUACAAUGGGGUGUAGUAAGUGUGAACUGGUUUCUCAUUUUCAGCAUGGAAUUCUGCAUAAGAUGAGCUCCUACACCAGGAAGCAGACAGUGCACUACAGGUUCUCAUUUUAGUUAGCCCAUGUCAGCUUCCGCCUGUGUAAACUUCUGCUUGUAACUUAGGUUGGUUUUCUUAGGUAUAACAAAAGCACAUGCAGACACUUUAAAAGGCUAAAAUCUAUUCAGACUGAUGGCAUGGAAAGCAUCAGCCAAAACACUUAGUCUGGCAAAAGUUUAAGGAAUGGAAACAAGGUUUUUUGUUUGUUUUUGAAAAGCAGCAUAUCUACCAGUAUCCCUAAACUAAUCUUCAAUUUGCUUAUAUAUUAGGUUUACAAACUUGGUACUUGCAUGCAAAAGUAGAAAAUAGUAAAGCAGUAAGUUCUCCUUGAAGGAGGAGUUUGAACCCAAGCGUAACAGGCUGCAGUGCUGUCCUGGCUAGUUUGUUUGCAAGUUCUGGUUCUCUGUGUCAACUCUGGAACUCACCACUUUCCAUUCCAGGUAAAGACCUUCUUCUGUAUAGAGCAUAUAGUCGAUCCUCCUCCCGUUUCCUUUCAGUGAUGCCUUCCUCCCCUUUUGACUGGAACUGUGGUUCUUGCUGGUGGGAUAGACUAAGUAUCCUUUCCUUCCUUCUUCACUUUCCAGCACCCUAUUAAAAAACCAAAAUAAGUGCUUUAAAAGUUUGCUCAUUCAGCCCCCUUGUGCAUGACUCUAGAUGCUCUCCUAAUCACUUGUCCAAAAGGACUGUUAAACUUGUAAAGCACAAUCUUCUGCCAAACAUGUUUUCCAGUAUGAGGCUGUACUAACUCCUGACAAUGCUCUUAAACCCUCCUGGGGGGUUUGGCGUCACUGGUGCCAUACAGAGGGCCUGUCACUAUUACGGCCUUGAGCAACUUGAUCUAACUUUGAAGUUAGCCCUGCUUUGAACGUGAUUUUGGACUAGAUAACCCACAAAGGUCUCUGCCACUCUAUUUCUACAGUAACUCCACGUUGCUGUCUGUUUUGUGGUUUUUUUUCAGUUGUAUUGGAUUUAAAAGGAAACUUGGUUUACCUUCUUGUAUUUGAUUUAAAAGAUCUACCAAAGUAGCGCUAAAGGCAACAGACACAACUGUGCAUUCAAAAGCAGGUGCUGCAUGUGGUGACUGCAUGUGUAGAUAUCAAGUAGAAUCACAGCUGGUUUGCUCCAUAACUGUGCAUGCAGAGGGGCUCCGGUUAGGUCGCGGUUUUGCUAUCUGGCUCAAAACACAGAAGCAAAGUACUUUCAAAACCACCUCCUUGAAAAUCACUUUCCUUGACUUACCUGCCAAAACCUGAGCUCAAGGUUCUGUGGUUCCCUGGUAAGAGUUGAUUACGCCAUUAAGCUACAUCAUCAACUGUCGCAGGAGAAACACUGAGCCAUGAACUUGGGUCCUAGCAGGUACAAAGCCUUUAAUUUCACCUUGGAAAAAAAUAAGAUAUUUUUGAUCACCCUGUUUUUAAGAUUUGACUUUGGAUGGGUUUUAUGGGGUUGGGUUUAGGAGUUGGUUUUUAUGCAUGCACGUGAGAGUACAGAACGAAGGAAAAACAAAAGACAAACACCAGACUCUCUUGAUGUGCUUUAAUGUCUGAGAUUCAAAUGCUUUGUCAAUUUCUGUGUCUUUGGAAGGGUCUGAAUGGUGGCAGAGGGGACACAGCACUUGCUGCCGUUGAUGAGGUCUCAGUAGUCUUGUAAUCUGUAAGUUUGGGUUAGUUGAUACAUACAAGAAGUACUCUAUGUGCCUUCAAAAGACAACAAUGACAAAAUUACGGUCAUUCAGAACUCUUCUUAACCCCCUUUGAAUUUAGUGAGGUAUUGAAGGUUCUUGGAGUUUACUGUAACCAGUUUAUAAAAGUAAGCUUCCUUUUAAAUAUUAUUCAGUUUUAGACUGACGUCUAAUACCUCACAUUAAAUUAGCUUACUGCCUGUACCCCAUUUGCGAGCUGAUUCCACAAAGAGCUAAUGCAAAUUAUUCACUUCCUGAAAUUCUUUCUCUCGCUUCAAGAAAGGAAGCUCUUUGAUGGAACUGACCUCUUUCAAAAGUGGUAUUUAUAUUUGGCAAAGCUAAUUAAGUAACAAAGUAGAAGAAACUGCUGAUGAGCGCUGCAGUGCUCCUGAAAAAAAAAUCUUUUUUGCAUUAAUGUAAAAGAUGGAUUUGUUUUAGCUUCAAUUAUGUCCUUUUCAAAGUCUGUGAAUGCUGGGUAUUCACUUAACCCGCACAACUUCUCCAGAGAAAUGUUCAUUUCCAGUUCAUGAGGAAAACAAACUGCAAAUGUGCCCUGUCUGCUUUAGACCAAACCUGGUGCCCUGGUACGCACGGGCGCGCUGCUCGUCCCUACGGCAGCGCACAGGCGCUGGCUGUGGCUGUGCCGUGCCCGCGGCGCAGCGCUAGCAGCUGACUGAACAGAUCUGGUGACGUGAGCUGCACAACUAACCCUCAGUUUUGUCAGAAUAAUUGUCUAGGUUCAUAGGAAAAAAGAAAGGAAGGAUAAAAAGUAAUCAGAACUUUAUUUUUUCCUUGAAAGAUUUUCAGUCCCAAAUAAGUCCAGAGUUUAAGUAUAAAAAUUCUGUCAAGCAGCAAUGUGGCCAACAGUUUCUUUGCAGCACUGACCCCAGCUGCAGCGACCAGAGGAGGAUGCAGAGCGGGGUGUGUAAGGGCAUCGUAAAGCUCGAGGGCCCAUCUCCCUCAUUCAGAUGGGAAGCACACGAGCUCAGGAACACUUUUCUUCCUGCUGUUGCAGCCUGUCACCGGAAUCGUGCUCCAUCGUCCAGCACUGGAAACUGGGAAAAUCUGCAUGUAAAUCUUGUUGCUUAGCUGUGCUGUAACGUGCUCUCCAGUGCCAGGCUCCGUCCAGGGAUUAGAGCAGCAACUACUCCUACAUUUAACAGUCCUAAAAUUACAUUUGGCCCUUUGAAGGCAACCGCGAGGCUGGUGUGGCCGCCGGUGACCAUGAGUCUGACACUGGUUGAGAGGCUGGUUCCAGUGCUUUGGUGGAAGGUCACAAUCUUUGCGAGAUGAGGUGAGAUGAGAUUAUCUGUGUGCAUUUCAGGAAGCCUUUCUGAGCAGAAGCUUGUGUGGCAGGGCCCAGAUUGUUACAUCUAGCUUAUUAAUUGUUCUAUAAUUAUAAAUGACUGGCUCAUUAUUUGUACCAAGUAUGUUCUUCUAGACCGAUGUUUUACAUAUGCUGUACUUAACAUGAAAGAGAUAUUUAAAAACUAGUUGUUCUGCUGCUUUGAUGGCCUAAUUAGUUUAGUAAUGUGAGCUACUUAAUUUGAUUUAUAAACUGGAGAAGAGUGCUGAUGAAGGAAUGCUGCUCUGGAUAGCUUACAUUGCCAAUUUAAACGUGUGUUUUCAAUGUCUGUAAAGCUUGAUCAAGGUCUGUUGAAAAAUUUGGGACUGGAUCCAUUUCAGGCUGUCCCCUGUUUGGCUGUGUAGAUGAAUGAUACGUGUUGGCUAGACAGCGUUCUGUGCUAUUGGACAUUUAAAUGUCUUUAAAGCCCGCAUUCGAUUAAUGGCUUGAAAUUUUACUGAACUUCUCAGCGAUUUUUGGGUUUCCCCGUCCCUUCGGAGACGGGAGGACAGGCUCCCCGGCCUCUUGUGGAGUGAUGGCUUCUCUCAUAUAUAAGCACCUCCACAUAACAUACACAUGUAGAUCCCCAUUUCCCCACAAAUCUCCAUAAAGCACCAGUGGAAACUCCUGUCUAAUAGAGGGGGGUUUUCAUCAGUUUAAGAGAAUGAUAAUGGAUUGCAGAAAACUGAAAGCCACAUUUAGUAGGCAAAAAGUAUUAUGUAUAUUCUGUUACCAACACUCAAGAGUAUUUCCCAGUUCUACCGAGGUGCUGUACAUACACAUAGGUAGCGGAAGUAACACUCUUAAAUCUUUACUGAUCAUUUGAUGGCUCUGUAUCUGUGGGUCAUGUAUUUGUCCGUUGAACCUGACUGCUGAAUGGAAGGAACUCUUCAGAGAAUAAACCAAAACACCCCAAAGAAAUUUGGUGACAGAUUGUCUCAAAAAGUGCCUUGAAAACACAGCUGGUUAUUUUUGGUUUUGGAGUAUUAAUUCUAUUUUUUUUAAUCAGCUCCAAGGCUGCUCUUGGAACCAUGAAAUAGAAUGUUCCACCCACAUACAGAUCUGCAUUUGCAAACCUGACUGUAGGGCCAAAUCACCUUCCUUUUGCUUUCCAGAAAUGCCUUUCACAUUCACCAGAUUCAUGUUCAACACGUGAACAGGAACGCCUGGACCCGUUGCAGGCUGCUGAACGUGCACAGCGUGACUUGUGGUAACAAAUCCUUAUUUUGGAUAAAAACUAAAUCCAGACCUUAUGGCUAGAAUUCUGUUUCUUUUUUCAAAGCUGAUACAAAGAAGACUUCAAGGGGCAGCUUCACCUCACACAUUCAGCUCAGUCUCCCAUCUAUACCAUGCAGUGUACCGUACUUUGUAAAAAUGCCAAUGUGAGCCAUGCCUAUAUAAUGUACCCCCUUUCCAUUAUGUGUGCUGUCUGAAGCAUCUGCACAGACUCAUUAGUUCAAAUAACUUUAACUCGUUAGUAUAUUUUCAUAAUAAACAUCUUUUAUAGUUACUCAUGAUAAUAACAUAUUUAGUCCAUUAAAAUAGCCUUCAAGUCAGAGAAGCUGUAAAAAGGAUUAUCACAUUCAUUAAAUGCUUUAAAACGUACAAAGCUUAUAAAUUUCUUGAAUACCUGUACUGUUAAAUAACAUGCCAGAGGAGAGAAAUUAAUCCUAAGACUUCUGCAAGUUAAGGUGUGGGGGUUUUAUUUCUCAUAAAUCCACUAGCUUAAACCAAAGAUACCCGUUUCAAUAGCAAACACUCCUUAGAAGUAACACCGCGCUAGGAUCACGGAUAGAUAUUAAGCCAUAUUCCUGGUUACGUCUGACGCUCUGUUUGAUUCCUCUCUAUACUUGUGAGCUUGCUUUUUAAGGUGUAUCACAUUCUGCAAGCAUAGGUUUUUAACUGUUGGGUUGGGAGUGGUGUUUUAAAGUUUCUGGGUGUUUUCUUUGAGGGGAACUCCAGUUGCUGUCACUGCUGUCCUUGAGGGCUGCGAGCACAGCACUGCCUGCCUGCAGAGAGGCGUCAGCCAAGCUGCCUGCCCUUCUCAGCAGCGCGUGGAGUUUCAUUCCCGUGGGCCUGCGCAGGCAGGACCAGCUCCAGAGACAAAAGAACACUGACUGCAGUUGCUCUCAUCUUUACACCCAUUUAAGCCAAUUCUUUUAGACUUCGAGAAGCAGCCACUUUUCCUUCCCUUUGAUUCCUUUUCCCCAAAUACUCCUGAGUGAAAAAAAAAGCAUGGUUGGUUGGGGUUUUGUUUGCUUUGGUUUUGUUUCUUUUUCUUUAAUGUCCAUGAAACAGCCCUCAACUUGUGAAAUGUUAAAGAGCAAGCGAUGAAUUGGCUUUUGAAGGAAUUGUCUAAAGCAUGUGGGAGGAUUAGGAAUUGCAUACUUCUGUAGGUUAUCCGGAGUGCACACUUCUUCAUCAUACAGUCCUUCAGGAUCCAACAAGGUGCCUGUGAACAGAAGGGGAGAGGACCAAGCCGACACGGGUCUUUGUAGUGUGUAAACAGAGAAUGCUGUUGCUCCAGCUUGUCCUCUGCAGGGGAAGAGCAAGUCCAAGGAAAGGCACAUCAGCUACGUAUUGUGGACAACUGUGUGUUCUGCCACAACACAAAAGCUUCCCCCACCUCCCCUGCCCCAACCAGCUCUUCCUCUUGAGAACACCCUCGUAUAUCGCAGGGAGGUUGAAAACGGAAUUUGCCAGCGGCUCCUGGAGUUGUGGCAGGAGACUGAAGGACUGACCCUUCCUGAGAUGCGCCAGCGGUCGCACUGAGGGCGGCAAGUCACAGCUGAUGAGACAAGCUGACUGGAAGGCAUUUAUCUGAUGCUAAAAGGUUGAAAAACCAUAAGAGAUUUUUACACAAGUCAGUCCAAAGCAACCUGACAGUAAGUAACUUUCUAAUGGUGUUCCCACAAAGUGUGAAUUCACCGUUUGAAUGUUGUUGUAACGUUCUGUAGAGCUGGAGGCGAAAACUGAGCUGCAGAAAAUUUGUCAUAAGCAUAAGGUCGCUCAUGGACCUGGAGAUGUCUGAGAACUGUACUGUCAAUACAGCUCAGAAUAGAAGCUUGAUAUUUACUGAAACAUUAAUUACUUGCCAUAUCUAUCUGUGGAGUGGGGAAGAUUACAGAAAAUCAUGUAUAAAAUUACAGGAAACUGAUCAUUGUUAAAAAAAAUCAUCUUCAAUUCCCUGCAAUGCUAACAAGUGUCCCUAAAACAGUGAGUGAUGCAGAAAUGGAGGAGAAAACUUCAGAACAGCAUUAGUCUUGCUUAGUGCAGAAGGAAAGAAAACAAUCCAAAAAUAAACAAUUAAAUAGCCAGCUUAAUUUCAGUUCCAGGCUGAAUGAACUUUGAAGGGGAGGAAGAUGUAAAUAAUCUGCAGAGAGAGCAAAAAUAAAAUGGAUUUUUACACCCUG
Columba livia (rock pigeon) is the source of this 12608-nucleotide long non-coding RNA. RefSeq lists it as uncharacterized. The transcript is spliced from 7 exons. The record is from RefSeq and is a predicted model, not a curated record. Lineage: Eukaryota; Metazoa; Chordata; Aves; Columbiformes; Columbidae.